This 877-nucleotide ribosomal RNA is filed under the name Ophioceras commune. RNAcentral describes it as "eukaryotic LSU rRNA". It matches the Rfam family "Eukaryotic large subunit ribosomal RNA", at positions 55 to 961 of the family's 3401-position model. The record is from RNAcentral. Lineage: Eukaryota; Fungi; Ascomycota; Sordariomycetes; Magnaporthales; Ophioceraceae.
GGAAAAGAAACCAACAGGGAUUGCCUCAGUAACGGCGAGUGAAGCGGCAACAGCUCAAAUUUGAAAUCUGGCCCUCGGGUCCGAGUUGUAAUUUGCAGAGGAUGCUUCGGGCGAGGCUUUGAUCGAGUCCCCUGGAAUGGGGCGCCACAGAGGGUGAGAGCCCCGUAUGAUCAGCCGCCGAACCCGUGUGAAGCUCCUUCGACGAGUCGAGUAGUUUGGGAAUGCUGCUCUAAAUGGGAGGUAAAUUUCUUCUAAAGCUAAAUACCGGCCAGAGACCGAUAGCGCACAAGUAGAGUGAUCGAAAGAUGAAAAGCACUUUGAAAAGAGAGUUAAAAAGCACGUGAAAUUGUUGAAAGGGAAGCGCCUAUGACCAGACUCGGGCUCUUGGGAUCAUCCGCCCUUCUGGGCGGUGCACUCCCUCGUUCUCGGGCCAGCAUCGGUUCUCCUCGGGGGAUAAAGGCGCCAGGAACGUGGCUCCCUUCGGGGAGUGUUAUAGCCUGGCGCGUCAUGCUCCGGGGGGGACCGAGGACCGCGCUUCGGCAUGGAUGCUGGCGUAAUGGUCACCGGCGACCCGUCUUGAAACACGGACCAAGGAGUCAAGCAUUAGGGCGAGUGUACGGGUGUAAAACCCGAACGCGCAGUGAAAGCGAACGCUGGUGAGAGCUUCGGCGCAUCACCGACCGAUCCUGAAGUCUUCGGAUGGAUUUGAGUAGGAGCCUUAACGCUUGGACCCGAAAGAUGGUGAACUAUGCCUGAAUAGGGUGAAGCCAGAGGAAACUCUGGUGGAGGCUCGCAGCGGUUCUGACGUGCAAAUCGAUCGUCAAAUUUGGGCAUAGGGGCGAAAGACUAAUCGAACCAUCUAGUAGCUGGUUACCGC